Molecule: ribosomal RNA, 596 nt
Filed under: Trametes versicolor
Lineage: Eukaryota; Fungi; Basidiomycota; Agaricomycetes; Polyporales; Polyporaceae
Description: eukaryotic LSU rRNA
Rfam family: 5.8S ribosomal RNA (bases 189-342)
Source: RNAcentral
CACAAGCUUUUAAAAAGAGGUUGUAGCUGGCCUUCCGAGGCAUGUGCACGCUCUGCUCAUCCACUCUACCCCUGUGCACUUACUGUAGGUUGGCGUGGGCUCCUUUGCGGGAGCAUUCUGCCGGCCUAUGUAUACUACAAACACUUUAAAGUAUCAGAAUGUAAACGCGUCUAACGCAUCUAUAAUACAACUUUUAGCAACGGAUCUCUUGGCUCUCGCAUCGAUGAAGAACGCAGCGAAAUGCGAUAAGUAAUGUGAAUUGCAGAAUUCAGUGAAUCAUCGAAUCUUUGAACGCACCUUGCGCUCCUUGGUAUUCCGAGGAGCAUGCCUGUUUGAGUGUCAUGGAAUUCUCAACUUAUAAAUCCUUGUGAUCUAUAAGCUUGGACUUGGAGGCUUGCUGGCCCUUGCUGGCCGGUCCCCCUGGAAGGCUUAACUCCAAUCCCGAAGGGACCGGUCCCCAUGGGAAAAUUGGCCACCCCGGGAACCGGAAAUGGUUUGGCCAACUUCCAAACCGCCAUUAAGAACACUUUUUAAACACCGAACUCCAAUCCAGGAAGAAUACCCCCUGAACUUUAACCUAAUCAUUAACGGAAGAA